This is a long non-coding RNA of Cotesia glomerata, 105 nucleotides long. RefSeq lists it as uncharacterized. The transcript is spliced from 3 exons. The record is from RefSeq and is a predicted model, not a curated record. Lineage: Eukaryota; Metazoa; Arthropoda; Insecta; Hymenoptera; Braconidae.
AAUAAAAUAAAGUCUGAUGUGAUUUUCCAUAAGGAUCAAUGGUAAAGGCAAAAAUAUGUAAAUAUUAAUAUCUUUUUUUCAAUUCUCGGGUGUGAGGAUUUUUUU